CAAUAGCGUAUAUUAAAGUUGUUGCGGUUAAAAAGCUCGUAGUUGGAUUUCUGCUGAGAACGACCGGUCCGCCCGUUGGGUGUGUAUCUGGCUCUUUCUUGGCAUCUUCUUGGUGAACGUUGCUGCACUUGACUGUGUGGAGCGCUACCCAGGACUUUUACUUUGAGGAAAUUAGAGUGUUUCAAGCAGGCAUACGCCUUGAAUACAUUAGCAUGGAAUAAUAAGAUAGGACCUCGGUUCUAUUUUGUUGGUUUCUAGAGCUGAGGUAAUGAUUAAUAGGGAUAGUUGGGGGCAUUCGUAUUUAACUGUCAGAGGUGAAAUUCUUGGAUUUGUUGAAGACGGACUACUGCGAANGNAUUUGCNAAGGAUGUUUNCAUUG
RNAcentral lists this ribosomal RNA (379 nucleotides) under uncultured eukaryote. Its description in RNAcentral is "partial 18S ribosomal RNA". It matches the Rfam family "Eukaryotic small subunit ribosomal RNA", at positions 592 to 975 of the family's 1831-position model. The record is from RNAcentral.